GAUGAAGAACGCAGCGAAAUGCGAUACUUGGUGUGAAUUGCAGAAUCCCGUGAACCAUCGAGUCUUUGAACGCAAGUUGCGCCCCAAGCCGUUAGGCCGAGGGCACGCCUGCCUGGGUGUCACGCAUCGUUGCCCCCCUCCCCGAAACCCCUCUCCUCGAAAGAGACGAGGGGACUUGGCCGUGGGGGGGCGGAUAUUGGCCUCCCGUGUGCCGGACGGCUCGCGGUUGGCCCAAAUGCGAGUACUCGGCGACGAGCGCCGCGGCAAUCGGUGGUUGUCCAACCCUCGGUGCCAUGCUGCGCGCGCUAGCCGCUCACUGUUACUCGACGACCCCAAUGCGUCGUAGCCACGACGCUCACAACGCGACCCCAGGUCAGGCGGGGCUACCCGCUGAGUUUAAGCAUAUCAUAAGCGGAGGA
Molecule: unclassified non-coding RNA, 419 nt
Filed under: soil metagenome
Description: partial contains 5.8S ribosomal RNA, internal transcribed spacer 2, and large subunit ribosomal RNA
Rfam family: 5.8S ribosomal RNA (bases 1-122)
Source: RNAcentral